RNAcentral lists this ribosomal RNA (253 nucleotides) under uncultured bacterium. RNAcentral describes it as "partial 16S ribosomal RNA". It matches the Rfam family "Bacterial small subunit ribosomal RNA", at positions 524 to 776 of the family's 1533-position model. The record is from RNAcentral.
UACGUAGGGUGCAAGCGUUGUCCGGAAUUAUUGGGCGUAAAGAGCUCGUAGGCGGUCUGUCGCGUCUGCUGUGAAAACUCAGGGCUUAACCCCGGGCCUGCAGUGGGUACGGGCAGACUAGAGUGCGGUAGGGGAGACUGGAAUUCCUGGUGUAGCGGUGAAAUGCGCAGAUAUCAGGAGGAACACCGGUGGCGAAGGCGGGUCUCUGGGCCGUAACUGACGCUGAGGAGCGAAAGCGUGGGGAGCGAACAGG